Molecule: transfer RNA, 77 nt
Filed under: Mus musculus (house mouse)
Lineage: Eukaryota; Metazoa; Chordata; Mammalia; Rodentia; Muridae
Description: tRNA-Ala
Source: RNAcentral
GGAGAGAUGGCUCAGUGGUUAAGAGCACUGACUGGCAGCUCUUCUGAAGGUCCUGAGUUCAAGUCUCAGCAACCACA